Molecule: ribosomal RNA, 429 nt
Filed under: Bacteroidota bacterium
Lineage: Bacteria; Pseudomonadati; Bacteroidota
Description: Bacteroidetes bacterium partial 16S ribosomal RNA
Rfam family: Bacterial small subunit ribosomal RNA
Source: RNAcentral
UAGGGAAUCUUCGGCAAUGGGGGGAACCCUGACCGAGCAACGCCGCGUGAGUGAAGAAGGUUUUCGGAUCGUAAAGCUCUGUUGUUAAGGAAGAACGAGUGUGAGAAUGGAAAGUUCAUGCUGUGACGGUACUUAACCAGAAAGGGACGGCUAACUACGUGCCAGCAGCCGCGGUAAUACGUAGGUCCCGAGCGUUGUCCGGAUUUAUUGGGCGUAAAGCGAGCGCAGGCGGUUAGAAAAGUCUGAAGUGAAAGGCAGUGGCUCAACCAUUGUAGGCGUUGGAAACUGGUUAACUUGAGUGCAGGAGGGGAGAGUGGAAUUCCAUGGGUAGCGGUGAAAUGCGUAGAUAGAUGGAGGAACACCGGUGGCGAAAGCGGCUCUCUGGUCUGUAACGGACGCUGAGGCUCGAAAGCGUGGGGAGCGAACAGG